Long non-coding RNA from Lucilia cuprina (Australian sheep blowfly), 797 nucleotides. RefSeq lists it as uncharacterized. NCBI's taxonomy places the organism in Eukaryota, Metazoa, Arthropoda, Insecta, Diptera, Calliphoridae. The transcript has 4 exons. The record is from RefSeq and is a predicted model, not a curated record.
UCUUAGUAAAUUGUGGUCAAGAAAAAAUUAUUUAUUGGGUGAAAAAAUACAGCUAGUGUGAUGAAAUUUAUAUUAAAAUAAAGCUAAAUACAUACGUAAUAAGAAUACAUAAAGUUUAAGUGAAUUUGUUUAUGUUAAAUACGAGAAAUAUGUGUACAAAGUUUCUAACGGCAAUUUGUUUGUGUGGUUGUUUGUUUUUUUUUGCUUCGGCUGCUUGUUGUUAGAGAUGUGUUUUUUGUGUUUAUGUUUAUUUUGGUGUUAUCGAGAGGGAAAUCGAAAGUUGCUCAAUUUAGUGACAACUAAAGAUGUGUGUUUUUGAAAAAAGCAAAAGGAAACGGAAAAGGAAAUUGCUUAAGAGCUGAAGAUGUGUAUUUGCUCAAAAGUAAACGGAAAAAGGAAAUAUAUAAAUAAAAUCGAUAAUGUGUUAAAUAAAGAUGUGUAUUAAUGUAAAAAUGAAAAUAAUACAGGAAGUGAAAGGAAAUUAGUCAAAUUUGAUAUAUUACUACACAAUUUUACAGGAACAUAAAAAUUUUAAAAGACUUUAGUUUUUAUUGAAAUUGUGUGAUAAUUUGUAAUGCCAAAUAAUUUAUACAACAUUAAUUAAAAAUAAAAAACAACAAUUUGACUCACAAAAUUAAAGCAGAUUUAAAACGAUGUAAAACAAAAUCAAAAAGGUGGUGGUUUUAUUUCAUUUAGCUUUUUUCUGCGAAUUGCUACAUUUUUAAGUCAUAAAGUUCAAAAAAUCUUAGUGAGCUGCGAUCUUCGUAUAAUCUUCUGACUCUAAUGUUAUUUAAAAC